Non-coding RNA from Podarcis lilfordi (Lilford's wall lizard), 71 nucleotides. NCBI's taxonomy places the organism in Eukaryota, Metazoa, Chordata, Lepidosauria, Squamata, Lacertidae. The record is from the annotation of a GenBank genome assembly.
CCAUAGCUCAGUGGUAGAGCAUUGACUUUGUAUGCAGGAGGUCCCGGGUUCAAUUCUUGGCAUCUUAAGGU